CACGGGGGGAGCAAGCGUUGUUCGGAAUCACUGGGCGUAAAGGGCGUGUAGGCGGUCAGGUAAGUGGAAUGUGAAAUCCCGAGGCUCAACCUCGGAACUGCCUUCGAUACUGGCGAUCUUCGAGUCCGGGAGAGGUGAGUGGAACUCCGAGUGUAGAGGUGAAAUUCGUAGAUAUUCGGAAGAACACCAGUGGCGAAGGCGGCUCACUGGCCCGGUACUGACGCUGAAAUACGAAAGCGUGGGGAGCAAACAGG
This 254-nucleotide ribosomal RNA is filed under the name uncultured bacterium. Its description in RNAcentral is "partial 16S ribosomal RNA". It matches the Rfam family "Bacterial small subunit ribosomal RNA", at positions 524 to 776 of the family's 1533-position model. The record is from RNAcentral.